RNAcentral lists this ribosomal RNA (1406 nucleotides) under Phloeonomus sp. CNUIC-OM29. Its description in RNAcentral is "SSU rRNA". It matches the Rfam family "Eukaryotic small subunit ribosomal RNA", at positions 417 to 1780 of the family's 1831-position model. The record is from RNAcentral. Lineage: Eukaryota; Metazoa; Arthropoda; Insecta; Coleoptera; Staphylinidae.
UAAGGAAGGCAGCAGGCCCGCAAAUUACCCACUCCCGGCACGGGGAGGUAGUGACGAAAAAUAACGAUACGGGACUCAUCCGAGGCCCCGUAAUCGGAAUGAGCACACUUUAAAUCCUUUAACGAGGAUCUAUUGGAGGGCCAGUCUGGUGCCAGCAGCCGCGGUAAUUCCAGCUCCAAUAGCGUAUAUUAAAGUUGUUGCGUUUAAAAAGCUCGUAGUCGGACUUGUGUCUCAGGCCUUUGGUUCACCGCUUGCCGGUGGUCACUGAAGAGCCUCGAGACGUCCUGCCGGUGAACUUAGUCUCAACUCGCUCCCCGAAGCAGAUUCUCUUCAUUGAGUGUCGCCUUGGGCCGGCAAAGUUACUUUGAACAAAUUAGAGUGCUUAAAGCAGGCCAAGUUUGCCUGAAUAUUCUGUGCAUGGAAUAUCGAAAGAGGACCUCGGUUCUAAUUCUUGUUGGUCUUAAGAACCAGAGGUAAUGAUCAAUAGGGACUGAUGGGGGCAUUAGUAUUGCGACGUUAGAGGUGAAAUUCUUGGAUCGUCGCAAGACUGACUAAAGCGAAAGCAUUUGCCAAAAAUGUCUUCAUUGAUCAAGAACGAAAGUUAGAGGUUCGAAGGCGAUCAGAUACCGCCCUAGUUCUAACCAUAAACGAUGCCAACUUGCGAUCCGACAACGUUCUUAUGAUGACUUGUCGGGCAGCCCCCGGGAAACCUAAGUCUUUGGGUUCCGGGGGAAGUAUGGUUGCAAAGCUGAAACUUAAAGGAAUUGACGGAAGGGCACCACCAGGACUGGAGCCUGCGGCUUAAUUUGACUCAACACGGGAAACCUCACCAGGCCCGGACACUGUAAGGAUUGACAGAUUGAGAGCUCUUUCUUGAUUCGGUGGGUGGUGGUGCAUGGCCGUUCUUCGUUGGUGGAGCGAUUUGUCUGGUUAAUUCCGAUAACGAACGAGACUCUAGCCUACUAACUAGGCGCUCGGCAUGAUAAAGGUCCGCCCGUGGAGCGAGACUUUUACUGCCGGCGCAAACAAAUGUCUUCUUAGAGGGACAAACGGUAUCCAACCGUACGAGAUUGAGCAAUAACAGGUCUGUGAUGCCCUUAGAUGUCCUGGGCCGCACGCGCGCUACACUGAAGGAAUCAGCGUGUUUUCUCUGGCCGAAAGGCUCGGGCAAUCCGUUGAAUCUCCUUCGUGCUAGGGAUUGGGGCUUGAAAUUCUUCCCCAUGAACGAGGAAUUCCCAGUAAGCGCGAGUCAUUAGCUUGCGUUGAUUACGUCCCUGCCCUUUGUACACACCGCCCGUCGCUACUACCGAUUGAAUGAUUUAGUGAGGUUUUCGGACUAGUACUCUGAGGCGCCUUGGCGUCUCGGAUGUUGCUGGGAAGAUUACCAAACUUGCUCAUUUAGAGGA